RNAcentral lists this long non-coding RNA (656 nucleotides) under Malus domestica (apple). RNAcentral describes it as "long non-coding RNA (MDOM_LNC010719)". The record is from RNAcentral. Lineage: Eukaryota; Viridiplantae; Streptophyta; Magnoliopsida; Rosales; Rosaceae.
CUUUCCUAAAUCGGAAUUGGCAACCAAAGUUUCUAAAGUUGGAAGUUUCUAUUCUUGGAGGUUUCCAUUUUCGUUAGUUUCUAUUCUCGGCUUUGGGCUUUUGGAUGACCCAUCCUUACUUCUUGGACCUAUGCCGCACCUAAACCCUAACCUUAGUCCACUUAAUCAGCCGCACCUAGGCCUUGUUCACAUGCAAAAAUCUGAUUAGUCGCCCUAAGCCCAAUGCCGCACCUUUCCAUCCUAGAAGCCCUAUUUUACAAACCUUAACCCUAGCCCAUUGUUUUAAUCUGAUUUGUUAGUGUUUUUAAGUGCAUAUAUAUUUAGUUUCUACACCUAGCCGCACGAUUCCCCCUCUCCACAAUUCAGAAAUCGUCUAAACCCUAUUCCCACACCUUGCCGCAGCCACCUUCAUCCAUUCCAGCCACUUCCCAUCCUUGCCGCAGCCUUCAUCCACCUCCAUACACCAUUCUACACCUCUAGCCACCAUCCUACACCUCCAUACACCAUCCCCACUCCUUGCCGCACCACCAUACCAUCCUAAUUCCCUUCUAAAACCAAAAUCACAUCCAAAAACACCCAAAACCCUCUCUGCCGCAGCAAGGAGAAAAAGAAAGAGGAGCUUGAAGUCAAAAAUUCAAAGUGGAAUUCUUGGGCGU